GGUUAAGCGACUAAGCGUACACGGUGGAUGCCCUGGCAGUCAGAGGCGAUGAAGGACGUGCUAAUCUGCGAAAAGCGCCGGCGAGGUGAUAUGAACCUUUGACCCGUCGAUGUCCGAAUGGGGAAACCCAGUGUGUUCCGACACACUAUCGUUAACUGAAUACAUAGGUUAACGAGGCGAACCGGGGGAACUGAAACAUCUAAGUACCCCGAGGAAAAGAAAUCAACCGAGAUUCCCCCAGUAGCGGCGAGCGAACGGGGAGCAGCCCGGAGUCUGAAUCAGCUUGUGUGUUAGUGGAACGGUCUGGAAAGUCCGACGGUACAGGGUGAUAGUCCCGUACACGAAAAUACACUUGCUGUGAACUCGAAGAGUAGGGCGGGACACGUGGUAUCCUGUCUGAAUAUGGGGGGACCAUCCUCCAAGGCUAAAUACUCCUGACUGACCGAUAGUGAACCAGUACCGUGAGGGAAAGGCGAAAAGAACCCCGGCGAGGGGAGUGAAAAAGAACCUGAAACCGUGUACGUACAAGCAGUGGGAGCCUCUUUAUGGGGUGACUGCGUACCUUUUGUAUAAUGGGUCAGCGACUUAUAUUCUGUAGCAAGGUUAACCGUAUAGGGGAGCCGAAGGGAAACCGAGUCUUAACUGGGCGUUAAGUUGCAGGGUAUAGACCCGAAACC
RNAcentral lists this ribosomal RNA (677 nucleotides) under Enterobacter cloacae complex sp. 2023EL-00494. RNAcentral's name for it is "partial 23S ribosomal RNA". It matches the Rfam family "Bacterial large subunit ribosomal RNA", at positions 1 to 722 of the family's 2925-position model. The record is from RNAcentral. Lineage: Bacteria; Pseudomonadati; Pseudomonadota; Gammaproteobacteria; Enterobacterales; Enterobacteriaceae.